Molecule: non-coding RNA, 745 nt
Organism: Rattus norvegicus (Norway rat)
Lineage: Eukaryota; Metazoa; Chordata; Mammalia; Rodentia; Muridae
Source: RefSeq, a predicted model, not a curated record
UUCAUGCGCUGACCCACACAUUUUAUUCCAGCACUCGUGAGGAAGAGAGACAGGUUGAUCUGCAAUGAGUUGCAAGGCCAGCCUGAGCCAUGUAUUGAGUUCUAGACCAUCCAGGGAUAUAAAGUGAGACCUGGCCCAGAAGCAGGGGUUGCUAUCAGACAAUUAUUAAAAUAGUAGACUCCUAGGAAUCCAUGCUGGAGGAAGAAAAAAGAUAAAUCUCCUAUACCAUCCAGAAGAGGAAUUUGCAGCCCCAGGAAGAUUUCACACAGUUCUGACGACUUGAGGCCAGCUUCCAGGAGCCUCAACUUAAACCUAAAGUUCCCAUCAGGACAAAGACAGACUUGAGGUGUUUUCCCACAUCGAUCAUCUGACGACAGGACCUUUCAUCCAUUUGCUGGUUCCGAGACUUGUCUCUUAGAUGAAGAGUCGUGCAACUUCCCAAGAUCAAUGGUGCCUUCGAAAUGAGAAAUCUAAAGAAACAAUCUGUUCUAAAUCCAAUCAGUAACAUAAUGUACAGCCAAAGCUUCUGGUAAGGGAGUCAUGAGGUGCCACUCAGAGAACUGGUUAAUGUAGAGACAAAGGCAGUAGCUGACAAGAAAUGGGGGAGAAAACUCAGCAUUUCGGCAAGCGUUUCUGCAAUGCUCCACACUGCCGCUAGAUGGCAAUAAAGUUGUAUCAUGCGAUUAUUCACUUAGCCAGCUAAAGUACUUUGAAGGAGUGUCACUGAAUAAAAGCUAAAGAAGUU